CAGUCGCCGCGGGAAUGCGUAGGUGGCAAGCGUUGUCCGGAAUUAUUGGGCGUAAAGGGCUCGCAGGCGGUUUCUUAAGUCUGAUGUGAAAGCCCCCGGCUCAACCGGGGAGGGUCAUUGGAAACUGGGAAACUUGAGUGCAGAAGAGGAGAGUGGAAUUCCACGUGUAGCGGUGAAAUGCGUAGAGAUGUGGAGGAACACCAGUGGCGAAGGCGACUCUCUGGUCUGUAACUGACGCUGAGGAGCGAAAGCGCGGGGAGCGAACAGGAUUAGAUACCCGCGUAGUCCCUGUCUCUUAUAC
Molecule: ribosomal RNA, 301 nt
Filed under: uncultured bacterium
Lineage: Bacteria
Description: partial 16S ribosomal RNA
Rfam family: Bacterial small subunit ribosomal RNA
Source: RNAcentral